AAUAAAUUAGCAAAAGCAUAAUUUCUCCUAGGAAUUCUUAUCUUCUCUAGAAGCUGGGCUGUGGACCCGGAUUUGCAAGAGAAGCAGGAAGUCAUCUGUGAUACUCUGCCAAUCACACUGAACAGUCCUGCCAUCAGGUACACUGUUUUAGGGGAGCAGGAUGCAGAGCAGAGAGACUAUGACACUCGCGUGCCUUUACUUUGAAGCAGAAGCUGGUGAACAGGGAGGCUACCUCAGGAAGGUGUGUGUGGUGAUCAAGUCCCUCUGCCUGAGUCCCAAGAGCAAUGCAGAGUCUGUGGAGGGGUCAGGCUCUGGUAGGUUACCCUGCUCCUAUGACCUUGCGGACACCCAGUAAAUGAAAACCUUGCUGCUGGUCCUUGUGACUGUCUUGCUCGGCUGCAGAUCUUUUCUUGCGUGACCAGCUUGGCUGUGAGGUGUUAAAUUUGCUCACAGCCCAAUAGUAUGAGAUAUUAUCAACACACCUCUGCAAGAAGAGACACUGCUUUGUCUUUAGCCUGCCUGGCUCAGGCAGUAGAAUCAUGGCCAUGAAGAUCAUAGAGAAGAUCAGAAAUAUGUUUCACUUGUGAGGCAAAUAGAAUUCUCUACGUUUGUGAAAACCAGCCUCUGAGUUACCACAACCCCAGCCCCUCAGUUAGGUUAUCUUGAAGGGCAAACUUUCCAAGUAGAAAACCAUUGAUAUUUGUUCUUUGGAAGACUAAUUUCUACCACUGAUUUAAAAUAUUGUACAAUAUAUUAGCAAAAAGAAUAAAGCUCACCAGAAAAUUAUGGCUGUGAAACAGAGGAAUGUUGCUGCAUACCAGUUGAACAUGAAAUUCAAAAGUUAAUGUGGAGGGCCGGGGUCAUGACUCCAUGGUAGGGUGCUUGCCUAGCACGUGUGAGGCACUGGGUUCAAUCAUCAGCACUGUAUAAAAAUAUAUAAAAUAAAAGUCUUUUGUCCAUCUACAACUGAAAAAAAUUUUCAAAAAAUUUAAUAGAGAGUAGUUGCAACUACAAAGAAUGUCAAAACCAAGAGGUAAAGGAAUCUAGAUGUGUUAUGAUCCAACAAAAAGAGAAGUGAAACAUCCA
RNAcentral lists this long non-coding RNA (1086 nucleotides) under Marmota monax (woodchuck). The record is from RNAcentral. Lineage: Eukaryota; Metazoa; Chordata; Mammalia; Rodentia; Sciuridae.